AUGGGCCAACUUGAGUUGGAAGAUGAGUUCCGAGAUGAUUUAAAGGCUGCAACUGGUGAACUCAACGAUGCAGAUGAUGCAGAUAAUUUGAACCGCCCUAUUCAAUUGACAGGGUUCAGUGAUCCUUUGUAUGCUGAAGGAUUUGUUACCGUUAAUCAGUACCAUGAUACUGUACUUGAUAUUACAGUCAUAAACCGGACAAAAGAAACAAUGCACAACUUGUGUUUGGAGUUUGCAACAGCAUGUAAAAAUGCAGUACUUGAGCGCUCUGGAAAGUACACUGUGGCUCCCAGCGCAAGCGAGCAAAUCCAGGCUAUGAUCAAGGUUUCUUCAUCAAAUGUUGGAAUUAUAAUUACUCGCAUCGUUUACGAGACUUCAGAUGAAAUGGGGACUUCAGAGGUGAUCCUAAAAGAUAUGAGCAUUAGCAUUGCGGAUUACAUGACACCUGCUACAUGCACUGACGUAGCUUUCCGGAGGAUGUGGGCUGAGUGUCCAUGGAAAGUUAAGUUGAAGGUCAAUACCUUGCUUCAUGAUGAGAAGGCGUUUCUGAAUUUUAUAAUCAAGUCAACAAACAUGAACUGCCUAACACCAUUGUCUGCGCUUGAUGGGGACUGUGGGUUUGUUGCUGCCAAUCUCUACGCCAAGAGUGUGUUUGGCGAGGAUGCUUUGGUGAACAUCAGCAUAGCCCAACUGUAA
RNAcentral lists this ribosomal RNA (696 nucleotides) under Triticum aestivum (bread wheat). Its description in RNAcentral is "partial small subunit ribosomal RNA". Lineage: Eukaryota; Viridiplantae; Streptophyta; Magnoliopsida; Poales; Poaceae. The record is from RNAcentral.